AGCGGCGGACGGGUGAGUAACGCGUGGGAAUAUGCCCUUCUCUAAGGAAUAGCCUCGGGAAACUGAGAGUAAUACCUUAUACGCCCUUCGGGGGAAAGAUUUAUCGGAGAAGGAUUGGCCCGCGUUAGAUUAGGUAGUUGGUGGGGUAAUGGCCUACCAAGCCUACGAUCUAUAGCUGGUUUGAGAGGAUGAUCAGCCACACUGGGACUGAGACACGGCCCAGACUCCUACGGGAGGCAGCAGUAGGGAAUCUUAGACAAUGGGGGAAACCCUGAUCUAGCCAUGCCGCGUGUGUGAUGAAGGCCUUAGGGUCGUAAAGCACUUUCGCCAGAGAUGAUAAUGACAGUAUCUGGUAAAGAAACCCCGGCUAACUCCGUGCCAGCAGCCGCGGUAAUACGGAGGGGGUUAGCGUUGUUCGGAAUUACUGGGCGUAAAGCGUACGUAGGCGGAUUAGUAAGUUAGAGGUGAAAUCCCAGGGCUCAACCCUGGAACUGCCUUUAAUACUGCUAGUCUUGAGUUCGAGAGAGGUAAGUGGAAUUCCGAGUGUAGAG
RNAcentral lists this ribosomal RNA (551 nucleotides) under uncultured bacterium. RNAcentral describes it as "bacterial SSU rRNA". It matches the Rfam family "Bacterial small subunit ribosomal RNA", at positions 94 to 680 of the family's 1533-position model. The record is from RNAcentral.